Molecule: ribosomal RNA, 253 nt
Filed under: uncultured bacterium
Lineage: Bacteria
Description: partial 16S ribosomal RNA
Rfam family: Bacterial small subunit ribosomal RNA
Source: RNAcentral
UACAGAGGUCUCGAGCGUUAGGCGGAAUCACUGGGCUUAAAGCGUGUGUAGGCGGGUCGUUAAGUACCUUGUGAAAUCCCAUGGCUCAACCAUGGAACUGCUGGGUAUACUGGCGAUCUUGUGCAACCUAGGGGCGAGCGGAACAGAUGGUGGAGCGGUGAAAUGCGUAGAUAUCAUCUGGAACGCCAAUGGUGAAAACAGCUCGCUGGGGGUUUGCAGACGCUGAGACACGAAAGCCAGGGGAGCGAACGGG